GAUCAUGGCUCAGGAUGAACGCUAGCUACAGGCUUAACACAUGCAAGUCGAGGGGAAACGACAUCGAAAGCUUGCUUUGAUGGGCGUCGACCGGCGCACGGGUGAGUAACGCGUAUCCAACCUGCCCAUCACUUGGGGAUAACCUUGCGAAAGUAAGACUAAUACCCAAUGACGUCUCUAGAAGACAUCUGAAGGAGAUUAAAGAAUUUCGGUCAUCGAUGGGGAUGCGUUCCAUUAGGUUGUUGGCGGGGUAACGGCCCACCAAGCCUUCGAUGGAUAGGGGUUCUGAGAGGAAGGUCCCCCACAUUGGAACUGAGACACGGUCCAAACUCCUACGGGAGGCAGCAGUGAGGAAUAUUGGUCAAUGGACGAGAGUCUGAACCAGCCAAGUAGCGUGCAGGAUGACGGCCCUAUGGGUUGUAAACUGCUUUUAUAAGGGAAUAAAGUGGGAGUCGUGACUCUUUUUGCAUGUACCUUAUGAAUAAGGACCGGCUAAUUCCGUG
Molecule: ribosomal RNA, 503 nt
Filed under: uncultured bacterium
Lineage: Bacteria
Description: bacterial SSU rRNA
Rfam family: Bacterial small subunit ribosomal RNA
Source: RNAcentral